AUUAAUAGCUGGAUGUAGCACUAUGGAUCUGUGUUUGGUUCUGAUUAAUGGCUGGAUGUAGCACUAUGGAUCUGUGUUUGGUUCUUAUUAACAGCUGGAGGUAGCGCUAUAGAUCUGUGUUUGGUUCUGAUUAAUGGCUGGAUGUAGCACUAUGGAUCUGUGUUUGGUUCUGAUUAAUGGCUGGAUGUAGCACUAUGGAUCUGUGUUUGGUUCUGAUUAAUGGCUGGAUGUAGCACUAUGGAUCUGUGUUUGGUUCUGAUUAACGGCUGGAUGUAGC
This is a non-coding RNA of Pelobates cultripes (western spadefoot toad), 277 nucleotides long. Lineage: Eukaryota; Metazoa; Chordata; Amphibia; Anura; Pelobatidae. The record is from the annotation of a GenBank genome assembly.